AACGAACGCUGGCGGCAUGCCUAACACAUGCAAGUCGAACGAGACCUUCGGGUCUAGUGGCGCACGGGUGCGUAACGCGUGGGAACCUGCCCUUAGGUUCGGAAUAACUCCCCGAAAGGGGUGCUAAUACCGGAUAAUGUCUUCGGACCAAAGAUUUAUCGCCUUUGGAUGGGCCCGCGUUGGAUUAGCUUGUUGGUAGGGUAAAAGCCUACCAAGGCUACGAUACAUAGCUGGUUUGAGAGGAUGAUCAGCCACACUGGGACUGAGACACGGCCCAGAAUACUACGGGAGGCAGGAGUGGGGAAUAUUGGAAAAUGGGGGAAAGCAUGAACCAGCAAUGACGGGUGAGUGAUGAAGGCCUUAGGGUAGUAAAGCAAUUUUACACGGGAUGAUAAUGACAGUACCGGGAGAAUAAGCACCGGCUAACUACGUG
This 433-nucleotide ribosomal RNA is filed under the name uncultured bacterium. RNAcentral describes it as "partial 16S ribosomal RNA". It matches the Rfam family "Bacterial small subunit ribosomal RNA", at positions 29 to 507 of the family's 1533-position model. The record is from RNAcentral.